GAUGAACGCUAGCGGCAGGCCUAAUACAUGCAAGUCGAACGAUACUUUCCAGCUUGCUGGAGAGGAAAGUGGCGCACGGGUGCGUAACGCGUAUGCAACCUACCUUAAUCAGGGGGAUAGCCCGAAGAAAUUCGGAUUAACAACGCAUAAAAUCCCAGUAUAGCAUUAUACAAUGAUCAAAUAUUUAUAGGAUUAAGAUGGGCAUGCGUGACAUUAGUUAGUUGGCGGGGUAACGGCCCACCAAGACCACGACAUCUAGGGGAUCUGAGAGGAUGACCCCCCACACUGGUACUGAGACACGGACCAGACUCCUACGGGAGGCAGCAGUAAGGAAUAUUGGUCAAUGGAGGCAACUCUGAACCAGCCAUGCCGCGUGCAGGAAGACAGCCCUCUGGGUCGUAAACUGCUUUUAUUCGGGAAUAAACCUAUCUACGUGUAGAUAGCUGAAUGUACCGAAGGAAUAAGGAUCGGCUAACUCCGUGCCAGCCGCCGCAGUAA
This 498-nucleotide ribosomal RNA is filed under the name uncultured bacterium. RNAcentral's name for it is "partial 16S ribosomal RNA". It matches the Rfam family "Bacterial small subunit ribosomal RNA", at positions 28 to 523 of the family's 1533-position model. The record is from RNAcentral.